AAAAAGAGACAAACAUUGGUUUCCGUGUCCAACGUUUGACCGUCUGUCUUAUUUAAAAAAAUUAUGAAAAAAAAUUAAAAGACAAGUUACGCAUAAAAUAUUAAUCAUGUUUUAUCAUCUAACAACAAUGAAAAUACGAAUUAUAAAAAAAUUUCAUAUAAAACGGGCAGUUAAAGUUGGACACGAAAACUCAGGGUUUGCCUUUUU
Oryza sativa Indica Group (long-grained rice) is the source of this 207-nucleotide microRNA precursor. It matches the Rfam family "MIR812 microRNA precursor family". Lineage: Eukaryota; Viridiplantae; Streptophyta; Magnoliopsida; Poales; Poaceae. The record is from Rfam.